This 515-nucleotide ribosomal RNA is filed under the name uncultured Acidobacteriota bacterium. RNAcentral's name for it is "bacterial SSU rRNA". It matches the Rfam family "Bacterial small subunit ribosomal RNA", at positions 355 to 861 of the family's 1533-position model. The record is from RNAcentral. Lineage: Bacteria; Pseudomonadati; Acidobacteriota.
UGGGGAAUCUUGCGCAAUGGGCGAAAGCCUGACGCAGCAACGCCGCGUGGAGGAUGAAGGCCCUUGGGUUGUAAACUCCUGUCGGCUGGGAAGAAAUCGUUCGCGGUUAAUACCCGCGGACGUUGACUGUACCAGCAAAGGAAGCCCCGGCUAACUCUGUGCCAGCAGCCGCGGUAAUACAGAGGGGGCCAGCGUUAUUCGGAAUUAUUGGGCGUAAAGGGCGCGUAGGCGGCCAUGCGUGUCUUCCGUGAAAUCCCUCGGCUCAACCGAGGACGUGCGGAAGAAACUGCAAGGCUCGAGUCCAGAAGAGGGGGGCGGAAUUCCCAGUGUAGCGGUGAAAUGCGUAGAUAUUGGGAGGAACACCGGUGGCGAAGGCGGCCCCCUGGGCUGGUACUGACGCUGAUGCGCGAAAGCGUGGGUAGCAAACGGGAUUAGAUACCCCGGUAGUCCACGCCGUAAACGAUGGGCACUUGGUGUCGCGGGUAUCGACCCUGCGGUGCCGAAGCUAACGCAUU